CCGCGUGAGUGAUGAAGGUCUUCGGAUCGUAAAACUCUGUUAUUAGGGAAGAACAUAUGUGUAAGUAACUGUGCACAUCUUGACGGUACCUAAUCAGAAAGCCACGGCUAACUACGUGCCAGCAGCCGCGGUAAUACGUAGGUGGCAAGCGUUAUCCGGAAUUAUUGGGCGUAAAGCGCGCGUAGGCGGUUUUUUAAGUCUGAUGUGAAAGCCCACGGCUCAACCGUGGAGGGUCAUUGGAAACUGGAAAACUUGAGUGCAGAAGAGGAAAGUGGAAUUCCAUGUGUAGCGGUGAAAUGCGCAGAGAUAUGGAGGAACACCAGUGGCGAAGGCGACUUUCUGGUCUGUAACUGACGCUGAUGUGCGAAAGCGUGGGGAUCAAACAGGAUUAGAUACCCUGGUAGUCCACGCCGUAAACGAUGAGUGCUAAGUGUUAGGGGG
This 441-nucleotide ribosomal RNA is filed under the name Xanthomonas citri pv. citri. RNAcentral describes it as "bacterial SSU rRNA". It matches the Rfam family "Bacterial small subunit ribosomal RNA", at positions 397 to 830 of the family's 1533-position model. The record is from RNAcentral. Lineage: Bacteria; Pseudomonadati; Pseudomonadota; Gammaproteobacteria; Lysobacterales; Lysobacteraceae.